GUUUCAUUUUGUUGUAUUUUUUGUAAUAAUGAUAUACAUUAAGAAUAUUUUCUGCCUUGUGUAUGAGAAACUAAAUCAAAUAUUAUUUUCACCCAUUCAAAACUGAACUUUCUACAUGUUUCCAAACCUUCUGUCUGAUCUCUAUCUUUCCAUGUUAACUUGAGCUACAAUCCUCUAUAGUCACAAUCAAAGUAUGAGACAGUCAAUCUGGAGAUUCUGGAGCUUUUGUCACGGCUCUGGAUCAUUUUGACCCAGCAUUUUCUGUUUCUUAUAUUUUGGUGUUUUUCUAGAUGAUGAUUUAAGAUAAGAUAAGAUAAGAUAACCUUUAUUAGUCCCACACGUGGGAAAUUUGUUUUGUCACAGCAGGAAGUGGACAGUGCAAAAGUUAUGAAGCAAAAAUUAGAAUAAAAUAAAAUAAGAAUAAAUACAGUACACAACUGUUUAUGUUCUGAUUCUAGAGUUGUGCUGGUUUGAUUUUGUAUUACGGGUUACAUUCUUUCAAGUCUGUCUGUCUGUGUCAAGUGUGCGUCUUUGUAAAUUGUUUCUUCUUUCCUGUUUUAUUUUGAUAGUUCCACUCCUUUGUCAGUGUAUUCAGUUUUACCUCCCCCUGUCUCGUUAGCCCUAAUUUCUCCUAGCUGUGUCUCCCACCUGUUUUCCAUUCCCUGAUUACUCCAUUGUGUAUUUAAGCCCCGUGUUUGUCUUUGUCGCGUUGUACUUUCUACAUGUUGUGUGUUUGUUGUGUUCCAGUUCCAAGUUUUGUUUUUUGUGAGUUAUUUUUAAGGAGAUUUUUCCAGCAUUAAAGCUGUGUUUUGAGUUCCAGUCCUGUCUUUGAGAGUCCUGCAUUUUGGGUCCUUUUUCCUGCCUGCCACACAGCCUCUCAUGACAGAAAGAUGCGACCGCUACAUGGACCCCGCAGCGUCUGAUGAGCUUCAGGUGGACAUAAUUUAUUCUGUGAAUAAGUUAUGUGACCUGUGGCUGGAUUAUCCGGAAGAAGAGUUUCAGCGUGCUGUAGCUGACUGGCUACAGCGACUGGUUUCCGGUCUCCGGACUCGCUUCACCCACUCAUACAGGAUUUUUAUCCUUAAUGAGCUUCAUCUUCAUCCCCCAGCCACUACCGCUUACCUACCCAGCUCGGCGAAGGCUAUGCCGCCCGGCCCGCCGGACUUGGAGUUGCCCGACCCAUCGACCACCGGCGCGUCACCCCACAGCCGGACUUCAGGAUGUCAAAGCAGCCGGCUGUGGAGAGUGAAAAGGACACUUUUUCUGUUUCUUUGGACCUUGGGACUGUUUAUUCUGGGGCUAUGUGUUUUUUGUGUCAGCUGCCUAGCCAGGAGCUCCGUUUUCAUCACAGCCACCAGUCCAGCCAGGAGCUCCGUUUUCAUCACAGCCACCAGUCCAGCCAGGAGCUCCGUUUUUAUCACAGCCACCAGUCCAGCCAGCUGUUCAGCCGCCCUCAGUUCAGUCGCCCUCAGCAGCCCAGUCUCCUGUAUUGCCACUAGUCCAGCCAUUAGCGCGGCCUGCACCUCAGCCAUUAGCGUGGCUGGCAGUUCAGUUAACUACACAGGUUGCAGCUCAACAGUCUAUUCAGCCACUAUGUCCACCCACUCAUUCUAAGGAGGAGGAUAGCCCUACUAAGACUUUUGUUGUUCCUCUAGACCUGGCCUAUUUAGAGACUGUUACUCUCUCCAGGGUGUCCCCAGAGGCUGAAUUUCAGCCCUCAGUUAACUCUGGACACGAAGAAGCCAGCGCAACCUGUUUCUCUUGGGAACUCAAUUGGGUUGUCUCAGUGAUUGGUCCCUGCUGAGAGCUCAGGGGAGUUAAUUCUGCCACCUCCGUUCUAUGCUGGAAGCUCUAGUGAGCUCAUUCGGCCAGCUAAGGACUGCAUCCUGCUGUUACUGCCUGAGCAGAGCCUCUGUCCUGCGUGGCUCCAAUCAGCUCUCUGUUCCCCGCAGCCGGCCUCCGGACCUGUUUUGUCGCCGCCGCUGCCCUCCCCAUGGUCGGCCUCCAGACCUCUCUCAUCUCUGUCACUGGCCUCCGCGUCGGCCUCCUGAACGGUCUCAUGACAGCUUUCAAAUGAACCUUAAAGAUUUUCCCAGGAAUACCUCAAAUAACAACCGUACCUCAGACUUCAUUUUAAGAAAAUUUAAAUGAUACAGUGGAAAGUUUCUGCCUCUGUGAUUAUCUGCCUAAGACUGUAAAUGUUGGGUUUGAUUUUAAUUGUUAACAAGUCUGAUGUUGACUACUUGGUAGUGAUGCUAAAACCCCCCAAUCAUUUUAUUGUCAGCUUUUCUACCAUCACCUGAACACCUGAAGUCAACUCAAUUAAAGUGUAGGAUGCUGCUGAUGGCCACGUAUGUUUGUAUCAGGGCUGUGUUGGGAUCUGUUAGGGGAUGUUACAGAUGGGGCAUGGUGGCUGGAGGUUGCCAGGUUCUUGCAAUAUUCUUACAAUAAGAAUAAUAAAUACGAUAAAAUAAUAAACAUAGCAAAAACAAUAAAAUAUAAGUAAAUACAAGUCAGUUAACCACUGAGUCAAAAGCCAGCGAAUAAAAAUGCGUUUCUCAAUCUGGAUUUAAAAACCAGCACUGAUGUCGAUUGCCUAAUGUGAAGAAGAUUAUUCCAAAGCUUUGGAGCCACGAUAGAGAACGCUCAGUCUCCUCUCAGUUUCAGCUGUGAUUUGGGGACUGAGAGCAACGGCUCAGGGAUCAGAGCGAACGAGUGGGGACAUAGUGCUUCAGCAAAUCAGACAAAUAUGCAGGUGCCAGACCAUUUAAGGAUUUAAAAACCAAUAAAAACUUUAAAAUGAAUCCUAAAUUCAAUUGGAAGCCAGUGCAGGGAGGCCAGAGCUGGAGUAAUGUGCUCAAAUUUCCUUCUACCAGAUAAAAACCGUGCCGCAGCAUUCUGUACUAGUUGCAGGCGUGUCAGUUUCCAGUCCAACCCCUAUUAAAAGGGAGUUGCAAUAAUCCAAGCGUGAGGUUAUAAAAGCAUGGAUAAAC
Long non-coding RNA from Oreochromis niloticus (Nile tilapia), 2993 nucleotides. NCBI's taxonomy places the organism in Eukaryota, Metazoa, Chordata, Actinopteri, Cichliformes, Cichlidae. The record is from Ensembl.